CAAUAGCGUAUAUUAAAGUUGUUGCGGUUAAAAAGCUCGUAGUUGGAUUUCUGCUGAGAACGACCGGUCCGCCCUUUGGGUGUGUAUCUGGCUCUUUCUUGGCAUCUUCUUGGUGAACGUUGCUGCACUUGACUGUGUGGAGCGCUACCCAGGACUUUUACUUUGAGGAAAUUAGAGUGUUUCAAGCAGGCAUACGCCUUGAAUACAUUAGCAUGGAAUAAUAAGAUAGGACCUCGGUUCUAUUUUGUUGGUUUCUAGAGCUGAGGUAAUGAUUAAUAGGGACAGUUGGGGGUAUUCAUAUUUGUGCGUCAGAGGUGAAAUUCUUGGAUCGCAGAAAGAUGAGCUAAGGCGAAAGCAUUUACCAAGGAUGUUUUCAUUAA
Molecule: ribosomal RNA, 380 nt
Filed under: uncultured eukaryote
Lineage: Eukaryota
Description: partial 18S ribosomal RNA
Rfam family: Eukaryotic small subunit ribosomal RNA
Source: RNAcentral